GGUGCCGGGAGGAAGGGGAGGAAGGGGGUGGAGGGUACCUCGAGGGGGAAGAAAUUUUGAGCAGCUUUCACGAGGCCCUACCGGCUACCCUACCCCCACUCCGGGUCUUCAGCGUCCUCCCGGGGCCGCAGUGUUGGGGAUAGAUUCUGCCCAGGAUCGGGCCAGUAGGAUGGGAGAGUUUGGACGUGCUUGGGCGCCUCUCAAAGAUUUGGCUUUUCCUGCGGACAGCGCCCCGCCCCCAUCCUAGGAACUCCGGACCUGGGCGGUCUUCGAGGGAAAGGGGGAGGGAGUAGGAGACAGAAGUGGAGAAGAUUUGGCAGUGGCCGCAGGCGGACGCCUGAGAAUCAACUUCUUGGAGGAUCCCGCCUUCCCACUCUCUCUCCUAACCCAGCCGGCUGCCCCGAGGAGCCUCAGAGGUCCUUUUCGUCCCUAAACGCGCCUUCGGCAGGGUCUGCCCGCGAGCGCCCCCAAGCGGCAGGUCUCAGAGUCCAGGUCGUUGGGAAAACCCAGGAGGAAAGUGAUUGUCCCACCUCCCCACGGAUCCACUGAUGAGAGUCGAGAGUGAAGUUCACCUGGGGCGCCUGGGUGGCUCAGUGGGUUAAGCGUCCGACUUCAGCUCAGGUCAUGAUCUUGUGGUCUGUGAGUUCAAGCCCCACGUCUGGCUCCGUGCUGACAGCUCGGAGCCUGGAGCCUGUUUUGGAUUCUGUGUCUCCCUCUCUCUCUGCCCCUCCCCCACUCAUGCUCUGCCUCUCUCUCCUUGUCAAAAAUAAAUAAACAUUAAAAAAAUUAAAAAAAAAAAAAGACUGAAGUUCACCUAUGUCAGGUCUUUGCUCCAAUGUUACUUCCUCAAAGAGAUGGUCCCGGAUCACUUGUUAAAAACGGCAUACUCCUGGGGCUCCUGGAUGGCUCAGUAG
Molecule: long non-coding RNA, 914 nt
Organism: Acinonyx jubatus (cheetah)
Lineage: Eukaryota; Metazoa; Chordata; Mammalia; Carnivora; Felidae
Exons: 3
Source: RefSeq, a predicted model, not a curated record